GCUGGGCAUGGUGGUGUGUGCCUGUAGUCCCAGCUACUCAGGAGGCUGAGACAGGAGAAUUGCUUGAACCCAGGAGAUGGAGGUUGCAGUGAGACGAGAUCACGCCACUGCACUCCAGCCUGGGCAACAGAGCAAGACUCUGUCUCAA
This 148-nucleotide non-coding RNA is filed under the name Homo sapiens (human). Lineage: Eukaryota; Metazoa; Chordata; Mammalia; Primates; Hominidae. The record is from Rfam by way of RNAcentral.